CUGCAUUUAGCCUUUUCAAAAUUAGCCAAACAUGCUAAUUGAUGGGGGUUUGAAAUUUGUAAGCGGAGUGUACAGUGAGGCGGCGAUGGAGAAUGGCGCCGACUACAAUUCGGCCAGUCUCUUCUGUUGUUUGGAUACAUAAUCUUCGGUGAUACACUGGAUCCACCGGCUUCUGCUGCAUCGGGUUUUUUCACUCCCCAAUCCGGUCCGUAAUUCCCCUAAACUCUAAGCAAUUGUUUUCGUUUAUUAAUUGGUUCCACCGGAUUCUAUUAUCCUGUACUUUCAUCCAAGUGUUGUGUUGAGCGAACGUUUGUAUUAUAUUUGAAAGUUAAUGGAAAUUAGCAAAUUCGGUGGUGAACUGGUUCUUUGGAUAGUGUAGUUGAUCUUGUACUAUUGAUUAAACUGAUUUUACUUUGCUAUUGCAAUCUGGCUUUGUGGAAUUAACUACUCCGAUUAAUUUUAAAAUAAACAUUUUUCAUCUUCAUUUGGCGGUAAAUGAUGGGGUUUAAAUUUUGUAUUAGGGUUCGUUAAUUUGUAAGGUGAUUGAGGUGAGAUUUGAGAACUCGCAAAUUCAUAGAAACUGAUAUUACCUAUGAAAUCGGGGUCACUGGAUGUGCUUCUCCGAUGCUCUGGGUGGAUUCAUCAUUUUUUCCGCCUUUUUCUUUUCUUUCUCUUGGUCGACUUCAGGGCUACUGGUAUCAGAAAUGCAGCCAUGUUUUCGGAUUUAUAUACAACGAGUAAUAGUUUCAACUGAUUUUGGUAAUAUUAAAACACUAAUCUUUUCUAUUUAAACUCCAUUUCCUUCAUCUAGGAAUUUGUUUGAAUUUUGACUCGUUAAAUUUCCUAAGAAUGUUUAUUCUAUUGAAUUUACAAUUCUGAGAUUUCAUUUCAUGGCGGAUGAAUCGGCCCUUUUUCCAUUAUUCCUUCAAAUAGAUAGUAUUUUAUGAGCGUGUCCGCAUGGGAAAGCCUUGGGAUAUGGAUUUUGAAAGUUCUUUGUUUUGGCCUUAGAGAAGAAGUAUGCUUGCCAAUAGGGCAUUGCAUACGUGCAUUAGUCGCUCUAAUAUUCCUUUUUAGUGGACUAUUUACUGCAAGACAACGGCAAUAAUCUUCUUCAUAGCAAAAACCUGCAGUGCAAGCCAGUGUAGCUUUCACAUUGCAGGUAAAUCACACCAUAAAUGCAAGCUUUCUUGUUUGUAUUGUAAUUUCUUUCUGUUUAUUACAGCUAAGAAGGUUUAAAUCUCUAGCAUUUAACUCAUAUAUAUUGUUCAAGAGUUGCUUCUAUUACAUUCUCCUUUUUUUCAGAUUCAGCAUACCAUCUCUGUCUGUGAGCACAAAUGUUUAGAAUAAUUGUCUUUUACGUUCAUUUCUUCUAUGACUAAAUCAAAGCAAUAACUAACUCGGAAGCAAAGAAGGGUAACAUUGAAAAGUUUAGAUGUUUCCUGAUUCACGCUUCCAACAAAAAACUUCUGCAAUUUCCUGCUUGUAGUUCUCGAGCAAGAUCUGCAAGUCUCAAAUAGCCAGAUACAUGAAUUCCCCAAAAUGUCUACAUGAAUUUGAAUGAAAUUUUUGGUUAUUAGUUCAAUUCCUUGUUUAAAUUUUUUGUAUAAUUUUCUUGUCUUCUGACGUUGAAUUAUUUCAUUUGUAAAACAAAUGUGUUUUCCAGUUAUUGAUCGAGGGAGCUGGGAGCAGUUACAGCAGUGUUUUAAGGAUUUGAUGAAUGAAAUUAGGGAUCUUGUGAAGGUAGUCGACCUGUUGAGGACGAAACUGGUUAAUGGCAGACAUUUGCAAGCAUGCUCGUAUAUGCGUUGUGACUUCUCAGCCCAUGACAACAAAGUAAAACUUCAGUGGGAAGUGGAAGAGGAAGACAAGGGAAGAUGGGUUCUUUGGAACAAUUUCACAUAACUCAUACCCAACCACCCACAACGAAACCCUAAUCAUUUUCAUCCUCUGAAUUUUUCUCUCCUCUUUCUAUUCGACCUUCUCUCCUCUCUCUACCCGUUGUCGAAAAGCAUAGUCACCACCGUCGCUUGCACCAUCUUGCACAGCGCCACACUCAACCACCAAAAAAUUCCCAAACCCGCAAUCAUGGCCACUACAUUCGUUGAUGCUAUCACUUCCACAAAUAUUCCCAAACCCACAAUCGCACAUGACAUAGCAACGAUGAGGAGCAGAUCAUCGUUGUGCACAAAGAUAUGAUUGUGGUAUGUGCCCCAUCGCUGCUGCGACUGUGGUCGACGAUUGUGCUCAUCGUCAUUCAAUCAAUUGUUCUUAUCAUCGCUCUAUCAUCAAAGGAAGUGCAAAGUGAAAUGAAGCAGUUGGGUGGAUUUGAUGAAAAAUUAUAAAACAAAUGUAACAAACUGUAUGAAAUAAAAGCAAUGACUAGUGGUUUUGAGUUGCUGUGAUGUGUGGUGGUGAUUUUGUGUGUCUAGUUAUGGUGUUCAUGGGUGGAGAUAGAAUGGGGGAGUUUGUAACCAAUAAUUUUUUUAAUUUGUGACCAAUAAAUAAUAUGUAAUUUAAAAAAGUGAUCUAAAAAGUAAUCAAGAAAUUACUUGUGAUCAAUUAAUUUGAUAAUAUGUGAUUGUUACAUAAGCCGUGACUUAUAAAAUUUAUGAUUUGUGACCGU
Molecule: long non-coding RNA, 2623 nt
Filed under: Olea europaea subsp. europaea
Lineage: Eukaryota; Viridiplantae; Streptophyta; Magnoliopsida; Lamiales; Oleaceae
Rfam family: Small nucleolar RNA snoR104 (bases 1412-1529)
Source: RNAcentral